UGGGGAAUUUUGCACAAUGGGCGGAAGCCUGAUGCAGCGACGUCGUGUGGGGGAUGAAGGCCGUCGGGUUGUAAACUCCUUUCGUCAGGGACGAAGUUUGUUUGACGGUACUUGGAUAAGAAGCACCGGCUAACUACGUGCCAGCAGCCGCUGUACUACGUAGGGUGCGAGCGUUGUCCGGAUUUACUGGGGGUAAAGGGCUCGUAGGUGGUGUGUUGCGUCGUCUGUGUAAUCCAGGGGCUUAACUUUUGGUUGGCAGGCGAUACGGGCAUUGCUUGAGUGCUGUAGGGGAGACUGGAAUUCCUGGUGUAGCGGUGAAAUGCGCAGAUAUCAGGAGGAACACCGAUGGCGAAGGCAGGUCUCUGGGCAGUUACUGACGCUGAGGAGCGAGAGCAUGGGUAGCGAACAGG
This 410-nucleotide ribosomal RNA is filed under the name bacterium. RNAcentral's name for it is "partial 16S ribosomal RNA". It matches the Rfam family "Bacterial small subunit ribosomal RNA", at positions 355 to 776 of the family's 1533-position model. The record is from RNAcentral.